UUUUUUUGUCUUGGCUGAAGCUCCAAUAUACUGGAUCCCCCCAAUCUCAACAGUACAUUUAAAAUGUGUAGUUCGACCAGGUGUCUCAUUCUUUUGACACUGGUACACUGGAAUCGCAUAAUUCAUCUUCUGUGCAUAUUCCUGAAGCAAGUUUUUGCAAAGUCCUGUUUCAUGCUGGAAAAAUAGAAGUAAAGGUCAGCAAUGAAGGAACAACAACAAAAUAGCAGGAAAAAAUUAUGGUUAGAAUGAAACGCUAAAGCGUCAUUUACCAUUCAACAAACUUUGAAACUCUAUGAAUGCGGGCAAUUCAUAUUUGGAUUAUAAAAAAACAUAAGCACCACUUUACCAUCCAAACGACAUCAAAAUAAUUUAAUCCUAAAACCAAUUUUCUCUCUCCGCCAUAUAAUCUCUUUGAUAAACUUCCCAUCACAUUUUCAUAAGCAUAUCUUCCAUUCCAGCACACUUUAAUUCACUCUCAUGUCAUCUCUAUAAUUUUUUCAACUUUUAUCUCUAAAUUGUACAACCCAAAUUCUAAUUCAAUGUGUGUGUUUUUGUCACAGACAUCCAUUACCAACCACUAAAGAUGAAAAAUGACAUUUUCAUCAGCAUUAUUUGUCAAUGUUACAGCAUUUUUUCUAUUCAUUAAAAACAAUCUUCAGUAAGAUUUGUUUUGUAUCUCUCUAUGAGAUUUUAUUUUUCCUACAUCUCAUCUUUUAACCUCUGUAUAUAGUUGAAUUCAAAUACAAAAUUUUUUUUUUUUGGUUCAUAUGUGUUUGUUAUUGUUGUUGUUAGUGACUCAUUGAGAUUCUGAUUUUUAGUUCAGUCUUUCAUAGAAAAUGUAGGAUUUUAAUCAAUUUCAAAAAGCCAAAUAAAACCAAACUGCAUCCAAUAUGCCCAAUUACAGUGGUUCUGAGUUUAUCUUUAGUCCACUGUGGUCAUGACGUUAUGCAACCAGACAAGCAUGGCUUGGGUGAAAAAAUAAUAGGUGCAGACCAAACAAAACUAAACCAGGUAUGGCCCUACUGCUGCAUACAUGUGAAGCAUAGCACUGAAGACCUUUAAAUUAAAGAAAAGCAGCCAACCCUAUUCUCUCUCUUUUCCAAAAAAAGAGCAGCUAGAACAGCCAGCAUAUAUAGUUUCUACUAUACUGAGCAUUCUCCUAUGUCAUGUUGUUCAUAGUAAUUUUCUGGGAGCUGCAAAUUUCAAUAAAUCAGCAUAUUGCUGGAUAUAAAUAUUGAACCAAGCACUGAAAAAGAGCUAAUUUAAUUGUGAGAAACCAUUAUGGAAGACUACAAACUUUAGCUUUAUCGCUCCCUAGGGCAAUGUACACUCCAAAAAGUUAAAUGAAGUAUAAGGAACUGGAGAUAAAUGUUGGAAAUUAUGCUAGUAAAAAUAGAAGUUACACAUAGUAUUUUGCACUCUGCUUAUUUAUUGCUUCCAAGAAAUCCAACCAUAUCCUCUUGAACAAGAAAUUAACCAACUGCAAGAAUAAAAACUAUUUACAACUGGAAAUCUAAAAUUCCAAUAAUCUUAUAUAGCACAAGGCCCCAAAAAGAAAAGAGAAAGGCAGGGAGCAAUUAUAGCAAUGACCUUUUGUAUAAUAUCAUACCAUAACUAAAUAGUAUUAUGGAAUGGAAGGGUAUUAAAACCACAAAACUCCCAAUAACCUAGCUUUUAACACUGGUUUAGUCAAGGACAGGAUGAACUUACAACAGGCUGGGAAAUGCAUUCAUUGACUUCAUCAGAUUUAGCCAACUCCAAUAGAGCAACCUCUGCAGCUGACUGCUCUGCAGCCUUCCUAUUGAAAAAACCAGGCAAAGAAUCAUAUCUAACAUCUUUGACAAUCACUGUUGACCUGAAGGAAGGCUCGUGUGAAGGGCCUUCCUUGAUUGUCUCAUACACAGGGGUUGGCAGUCCCUUUUUUUGUGCAUACUCUUGUAAACGGCUCUUAAACACAUAGCAAUUGGAUACACCAGAGAAGCCAUCGUUUGUGGGCAUAGCUACGAGAGUUCUCCAGAGAAAUUCUGGACUGAUUUGGGUUCUUGAGAUUGAUAACCGCACGAGCAAAGAUACAAAAAAGCGAAGCAGCGAUCGAAUCCCAGUAAUUAGCUCUUAGAAGAAGGGAAGAAGAGAAACAAAUGGUUUCUAGAGAUUCUGUGCAAAGGAAGAACGGGAAUAAGGUACGUGAAAGUGAUUCUCUGUUUUUAUUGCGGAGAAAACUCACGCGUACACUGUGGCUUCUGCAGGAGUCAAAUCAGGGCCGUCGGAAAGGCGUUUUAUUUGCGGUGGGCAUGGUGGAGGUUUAUCGGAUUCGGACUG
Molecule: unclassified non-coding RNA, 2319 nt
Filed under: Hevea brasiliensis (rubber tree)
Lineage: Eukaryota; Viridiplantae; Streptophyta; Magnoliopsida; Malpighiales; Euphorbiaceae
Source: RNAcentral